AGAGUUUGAUCCUGGCUCAGAACGAACGCUGGCGGCGCGUUUUAAGCAUGCAAGUCGAGCGGCAAGGGUCUUCGGGCCCCUAGAGCGGCGGACGGGUGAGUAACACGUGGACAAUCUGCCCCCCGGCCGGGGAUAGCCCAGGGAAACCUGGAUUAAUACCGGAUGAGACGGGACCCGCGGAGGCGGGAUCCGGGAAAGGCGCUGCGGCGCCGCCGGGGGAUGAGUCUGCGUCCCAUUAGCUUGACGGCGGGGUAACGGCCCACCGUGGCGACGAUGGGUAGCCGGCCUGAGAGGGUGGACGGCCACAUUGGAACUGAGACACGGUCCAGACUCCUACGGGAGGCAGCAGCUAAGAAUCUUCCGCAAUGGGCGAAAGCCUGACGGAGCGACGCCGCGUGAACGAAGAAGGCCGUGAGGUUGUAAAGUUCUUUUCGGGAGGGGGAACAACCGUGGCAGGGAAUGGCCGCGGGAUGACGUGAAUCCCGGAAUAAGCCCCGGCUAACUACGUGCCAGCAGCCGCGGUAACACGUAGGGGGCGAGCGUUGUUCGGAAUCAUUGGGCGUAAAGGGCGUGCAGGCGGUCCUGCAAGUCCGGCGUGAAAGACCCCGGCCCAACCGGGGGGGCGCGCUGGAAACUGCAGGGCUUGAGUACAGGAGGGGAUG
This 662-nucleotide ribosomal RNA is filed under the name bacterium enrichment culture clone F11 1.697-29. RNAcentral's name for it is "bacterial SSU rRNA". It matches the Rfam family "Bacterial small subunit ribosomal RNA", at positions 8 to 660 of the family's 1533-position model. The record is from RNAcentral.